GUUUCAAACAAGACCGUACAUGUGACUUUCUUUUCUUAAACAAUCAAAUCAAUGUGCCUUUGUUACAGAGCACUGCGGAAGAUGGUUGAUAACAGUGGGAGUAAUUGGGAUAAAUUACUUGAACCCAUUUUGUUUUCUUUGCGAACUAAAAUACAUGCAACAACAAAAUUUUCACCUUUCCGACUAAUGUUUUGUGAUGACGCAGUGUUUCCAGAAGAUGUCUUAGAUAAUUACACGAUCCCAGAUCUGGAUAUGUUCGGGGAAGAUUUCUGCAAAGAAUACAGCAUGAAUAUGAAGUCGAGACAUGACGCUGGCCCUAAGUAACAUUGCUAAAGCACAAGAAAAACAACAAAGACAUUAUGCUAAAAGAAAGAUUUCUAAAUAUGGGGAAAUAACAUUUGAAGUUGGGGACUCUGUUCUGUUACUGAAUGCUAGACAGAGAACAAGAAAAGGAGGAGUAUUGGAAUCUAAAUAUCGGGGACCAUACAAAAUUAUGAGUGUUGAAGGUAAGAGAGUGAAAUUACAAACCAUCUCAGGGAAACAGUUAGGAACCAUGUACAGUAUUGCACACUUAAAACCAGUAAAAGAACCAACAACAUUAGCUGCUGAAAGCACAUCAGAGGGAAAAACUGGAACUGAAAUUGGAGUUGGUGACACUGAACCAGAAACACCCACGGAAGAGAUUAGAGAAAUGGAUGGCACUGUAUCUCUUGACAGCAAAGUGGAAAACAUAGAGGUCACAGCAAUAGAAAAAGAGGAAUAUAUAGGGCAAGAUGUGUCAAACAAUGAUACAAGUGAUGCUGAUGACAGCUUUGAUGACAUGCUUACAGAGGAAGUGGAGGACAAGCAAUGGCUUCUGAAAGUAAAAUUGUUAAUGACCAGCAAACACACAGAGAGACUAGAGGCCAAAGUGAGAAACAUAAAAUUAUAUGGCUCUUCAUUUCAUUGCCUGAAACCGAGAAGCUGGAUAAGUGAUGAGGUUAUUGAUGCAUUUUUGAGCUGUGUAGUUGAGAAAGCAGAUGGAAAGGUAGGCUAG
This 1036-nucleotide long non-coding RNA is filed under the name Gopherus evgoodei (Goodes thornscrub tortoise). Its description in RNAcentral is "lncRNA (ENSGEVG00005016683.1)". The record is from RNAcentral. Lineage: Eukaryota; Metazoa; Chordata; Testudines; Testudinidae.